GGAAGUAAUAGUCGUAACAAGGUUUCCGUAGGUGAACCUGCGGAAGGAUCAUUAUCGUACAAAAUGUGAGGGGCAUGCGAGGGCUGUCGCUGACCCAAAAGUCGUGCAUGCCCGAGUGUGUCCUCUUGCAUAAUAAUCCAUCUCACCCUUUGUGCAUCACCGCGUGGGCACCCUUCGGGAUCAUCUCGGAGGGGGGCUCGCGUUUUCACACAAACCCCCCUUUUAAAAGUGUAGAAUGACCACAUUUAUGCAAUCAAUACAACUUUCAACAACGGAUCUCUUGGCUCUC
This 289-nucleotide unclassified non-coding RNA is filed under the name plant metagenome. RNAcentral's name for it is "partial contains small subunit ribosomal RNA, internal transcribed spacer 1, and 5.8S ribosomal RNA". The stretch from base 1 to 54 matches the Rfam family "Eukaryotic small subunit ribosomal RNA", at positions 1778 to 1831 of the family's 1831-position model. The record is from RNAcentral.